UCUUGAAGGACAAUUUACGGGGACAUUCUACCCAAUCUUGAACGGAACGGCGGAGCUAUGCAGCAACGGUCAUUUCGUGAAGGACUACAGGGACAAGCGGGUGGACUUCGUGAAGCCCAUCACCCUGGACUACGUCUCGAUCAUGGCGCCCAAGGCCAGCGUUAUCCCACCCGUCAUCACGGUCCUACUCAGCUUCGAGCUCUCCGUUUGGGUCAUGCUCUGUCUCACCUUCGUUUCCCCCGUUCUCGUCUACGUCGCCUACCUCAAAUACUCCUUCGAGUACAUGGACGCCGGAACCUUACCCGUAGUCCACGGACAGGAAACACAGAGGAGAGGGGCUUGGACCUCCAGCACCUCGUCUCCUAGUAAUCAGCCUCAGAUUCAUACGCAGCCGAGACAAUCAAACUGGUUCAUCAAUAACGUGUUGAAGAACCACGUACCCUCUAAAAGCCCCAUCGGAGGAAAAUUGAAACGCUUGAUUGGUCAAUUUUUCACCUCUAGAAAUCCAUGGACUUCUAAACGUGUAAGAUCAAAGCAAUUCCCUAAAAUCGGAUUCAGGUCGCGUGACGGUCCAAAACAAAUCGUGUCCGCUCAUGGGAAAUAUUUAGGGUUUGAUAACUCACCAAAAAUUGCAUAUCUCUUUGGUAACCCAAAGCUAAUGGCACACCACUCGAAAUCAGCUGGAGGGUCACUGCCUAACCAGUUUGGGCCUCAAAACCGUUCGAGGGAAUUCUUGUCACCUCAUGCCAAAAACACGCAAUAUGGACCAUCUCCAAUGCCUGAAAUAGGCAAAGAAUCGAGAUUUGUUCGACUGUUCCAUACACUCUGGGGCCAAAUGGUGACAACUGAUCAUAGUAAUUCUGCGGUAAUGAUACCAGCUCAUUCAGCACACUCCCAAGCAGUGCUUUGGUCAAAAGGAGGUCGGUCAGUGACACCAGCCUCUAAACUGGAUAUUCCCAAAGUUAUCUUUGACACGUUUCGAUUUUUCUUAUCAUCGCCUCCGCCAAAAUGUCUUAUCAUCGGAUCAACUUCUGAGCGGAUUCUAGUCACGUCGAUUCUCGUCUUUACUAUCGUGAUAACGAGCUCGUUUCAGGGCAAUUUAGUCAGAUUUUUGAGCGUCCCCGUUUACUACCCGGACAUCGAUAACCUCAAACAGUUGGAAAAGUCCCCGCUGUUGAUUUGGACCUCGUCGCUGAGUUGGAGGGACAUCUUCUACAGUGACCCGAUCCUGUGGGGUCUCGCAAAAAAGGUGCACCGGUGGAAGUCGGAGCAAGACAUGCACGACUCGGACGGGUACUACGCGGGCUUCCAACGGAUCAACGUCCACUCGUACAAGUACUUCAAGGACGUCGUCCUCACCGGGCUCAAGAACAACGCCACGCGCACCCUCCACACCCUCUCGCAGAACCUCAUCACCUACUACCUGGCCUACAUCGUCAUCAAGGACUCCCCGUACCGCACCCGCAUCGACUCCCUCAUCGGGCGCAUGGACCAGUCCGGCCUCGUCACCAAGUGGUCCGCCGACGUCAUCAAGUACACCCUGGAGACCUAUCGCACCGUCGAGGACCGUCGGGCCAAGAGGGAAAAGGUCUUCACCGUCCAGGACCUCUCUGCGUCCUUCAUCGUCCUGGGGGCCGGGGUUUGCGUCGCCAGUGUUGUGUUUCUCGGGGAGGUCUUGUUGGAGUAUUGGAGGUAUCGGAAAUUUAAGCGAGUCUUGGUGCCGGAUAGUAAAUUGCCUGAGGACGAGACGUUUUUGCAGGUUCAGAGGGACGAGCGGAAACAGGAUCUUGCUCCGAGGACCGGUUUUGAAUUUUUGCAUUGAGGUGGAUUUAUUCGUGGACUAAGAGACAUUUUUCGAUGCAGUACUCCACGUCAAUCUUCUUUGUAUUAGAAACACAGAGGAUUGAAUAUUGAAUAGAAAUUAACGUGAAAAAACUGUCAAGCGUUAUCCGCUGAAAUUGUGAUAUACUACCCCAAAUUGUUGGAUGAUUUAGACAUGUCUAAUUAUUUUGGUAGUGCCGCACUAUUUUGGUGAGUAACCUAUAAUUUAUUGGGGUGGGACUUGAGCCCUACCUCUUCUUUUCCGUGUUGACAUUAUGACGUUGCAGUCAAUGUAAAUCUUUCCUUAAUAUGACUGCGUAGCAUUUUUGUAAGACACAAAAUCUAUUCAAUAAACAUUCUUUAAAACCAUCAUGAAAUGAAUUUGUAUUCAAAUCGUUGGAGACUAUGAUACAAGCUCCUGUCAAAUGUCAUAACUAGCAUCGUGGAUAUUGCGCAGACAGUAGUCGAUAGAGGUUGCGCUUCCUCUAUCGACACAGUCGCUACGACUAUGGUGAAGGACAGUUCCGGUUUUAAACGUUUGUGAAUGUAUAUUCGUAAAAUUUUGACGGUUAUGCUAAACUUUAUGUCUCUCCUUCUUUAGUUUUUUCUUUCUCCUCUCCCGAAAAUGACUUGACGUGUUUUGUACAUAGUAGAUUU
This 2478-nucleotide long non-coding RNA is filed under the name Bemisia tabaci. RNAcentral's name for it is "lncRNA ENSSSA2NGG006153". The record is from RNAcentral. Lineage: Eukaryota; Metazoa; Arthropoda; Insecta; Hemiptera; Aleyrodidae.